RNAcentral lists this ribosomal RNA (1003 nucleotides) under Chauliodes pectinicornis (summer fishfly). Its description in RNAcentral is "16S ribosomal RNA". The stretch from base 652 to 819 matches the Rfam family "Bacterial large subunit ribosomal RNA", at positions 1785 to 2014 of the family's 2925-position model. The record is from RNAcentral. Lineage: Eukaryota; Metazoa; Arthropoda; Insecta; Megaloptera; Corydalidae.
AAUUAAAAAUUUAUUAAUUAUAUAGUUUAGUUUAUUAUUUAAUAAAAAUAAUUUUAAUAAUAUUUUUUUAGUAUAUUUUAUAGAAAAAAUAAUUUUAAUAAUAGUUUAUUAGUAUUGUAAAAGAAUAUUGAAAUAAUUUGAAAAAUUAUUUGUUAAAAAGAAAUUUUUAUUUAAUGUACCUUUUGUAUCAGGGUUUAUUAAUUAAAUUUUAUUUAUAAAUAAAUUUCUCGAAUUUAAAAGAUUUAAUAAAUUAUUAAAGUUAAUGUGGAAUAAUUAUUUUUAAUGAUUUAUUAGUAAUGAAAUGUUAUUCGUUUUUAAAAAUAUCUAGUUUUUUAAGAAAUAAAUUUAAUUUAUAUAUAUAAAAUAUAAUGUUUUAAUUUUAAAAGAUAUUAUUUUUAUACAUAAAUAUAUUAAGGGAUAAGCUUUAAUUUAUAUUUUAUAAUAUUAAUAUUAAUAAUUUCUUGUAAGCUUAGAAAUAGUUAUCAAUAAUAAGUUUGUUUUAAUUUAUAAUUUUUUUUUAUAAUUUAUUAAUAUUUAAAUUUAGUAUUAAAAUAAUCAUUUAAAUAAAUUAAAUGGUGCAAUAAUGAUAAAAUUAGUAUAAGUAAUUUUUUAAAUAAAUUAAUUAAUAAAGAUUAAUUUAAGGAAUUCGGCAAAUAUAUUACUCACCUGUUUAACAAAAACAUGUCUUUUUGAAUAUAAUUUAAAGUCUAACCUGCCCACUGAAUUUUUUGAAGGGCCGCGGUAUUUUGACUGUGCAAAGGUAGCAUAAUCAUUAGUCUUUUAAUUGAAGGCUUGUAUGAAUGGUUGGAUGAGGUAAUAACUGUCUCAAAUUAAAAAAUAAUAAAAUUUUAUUUUUAAGUUAAAAAGCUUAAAUAUAAUUAGAGGACGAGAAGACCCUAUAGAUCUUUAUAUAUAAAUAAUUUUAAAUUAUUUAGUUUAAAUAUGUUUUUAUUUAUUGAUAUAUUUUAUUGGGGUGAUAAAAAAAUUUAAAAAACUUUUUUUU